RNAcentral lists this unclassified non-coding RNA (256 nucleotides) under Hevea brasiliensis (rubber tree). Lineage: Eukaryota; Viridiplantae; Streptophyta; Magnoliopsida; Malpighiales; Euphorbiaceae. The record is from RNAcentral.
AUGGUGGAGUAGAUGGCGGAAUGGCUGGAGAUGGAUAAGGAGAUGGCUCGGAAGGUGGUGAAGGGGACGGAGAGGGAGAUGAUGCAGAAGGUGGUGGAGGGGGAUAAGGGGAUGGAGAAGGUGGUGGAACGGCUGAAGAUGGGGGAGAGGGCAGAGGGAAUGGUGGUGGAGGUGGUUGAACAGCCGGAGAUGGAUAAGGAGAUAGUUCAAAAGAUAAUUCCUUCGUAGGAUAAGAAGCCAAUGAAUUAAUGGCACA